RNAcentral lists this ribosomal RNA (433 nucleotides) under uncultured Anaerovorax sp. RNAcentral's name for it is "bacterial SSU rRNA". It matches the Rfam family "Bacterial small subunit ribosomal RNA", at positions 341 to 792 of the family's 1533-position model. Lineage: Bacteria; Bacillati; Bacillota; Clostridia; Peptostreptococcales; Anaerovoracaceae. The record is from RNAcentral.
ACGGAAGGCAGCAGUGGGGAAUAUUGCACAAUGGGGGAAACCCUGAUGCAGCAACGCCGCGUGAAGGAUGAAGGCCCUUGGGUCGUAAACUUCUGUCCUUGGGGAAGAUAAUGACGGUACCCUUGGAGGAAGCCCCGGCUAACUACGUGCCAGCAGCCGCGGUAAUACGUAGGGGGCAAGCGUUAUCCGGAAUUAUUGGGCGUAAAGAGUACGUAGGCGGUCUAUUAAGCGCAGGGUCUAAGGCUACGGCCUAACCGUAGUUCGCCCUGCGAACUGGCAGACUUGAGUGCAGGAGGGGAAAGCGGAAUUCCUAGUGUAGCGGUGAAAUGCGUAGAUAUUAGGAGGAACACCAGUGGCGAAGGCGGCUUUCUGGACUGUAACUGACGCUGAGGUACGAAAGUGUGGGGAGCAAACAGGAUUAGAUACCCUGGUA